UACGGAGGGUGCAAGCGUUAAUCGGAAUUACUGGGCGUAAAGGGUGCGUAGGUUGUACGACAAGUUAUCUGUGAAAGCCCUGGGCUCAACCUGGGAAGGCCAGAUAAGACUGUUGAACUAGAGUAUGGGAGAGGGUAGUGGAAUUUCCGGUGUAGCGGUGAAAUGCGUAGAGAUCGGAAGGAACACCAGUGGCGAAGGCGGCUACCUGGCCUAAUACUGACACUGAAGCACGAAAGCGUGGGGAGCAAACAGG
RNAcentral lists this ribosomal RNA (253 nucleotides) under uncultured Legionella sp. RNAcentral's name for it is "partial 16S ribosomal RNA". It matches the Rfam family "Bacterial small subunit ribosomal RNA", at positions 524 to 776 of the family's 1533-position model. The record is from RNAcentral. Lineage: Bacteria; Pseudomonadati; Pseudomonadota; Gammaproteobacteria; Legionellales; Legionellaceae.